RNAcentral lists this ribosomal RNA (497 nucleotides) under uncultured bacterium. RNAcentral describes it as "partial 16S ribosomal RNA". It matches the Rfam family "Bacterial small subunit ribosomal RNA", at positions 28 to 507 of the family's 1533-position model. The record is from RNAcentral.
GAUGAACGCUGGCGGCGUGCCUAAUACAUGCAAGUCGAGCGAACAGAUGAGGAGCUUGCUCCUCUGACGUUAGCGGCGGACGGGUGAGUAACACGUGGAUAACCUACCUAUAAGACUGGGAUAACUUCGGGAAACCGGAGCUAAUACCGGAUAAUAUAUUGAACCGCAUGGUUCAAUAGUGAAAGACGGUUUAGCUGUCACUUAUAGAUGGAUCCGCGCCGCAUUAGCUAGUUGGUAAGGUAACGGCUUACCAAGGCGACGAUGCGUAGCCGACCUGAGAGGGUGAUCGGCCACACUGGAACUGAGACACGGUCCAGACUCCUACGGGAGGCAGCAGUAGGGAAUCUUCCGCAAUGGGCGAAAGCCUGACGGAGCAACGCCGCGCGAGUGAUGAAGGUCUUCGGAUCGUAAAACUCUGUUAUUAGGGAAGAACAAAUGUGUAAGUAACUAUGCACGUCUUGACGGUACCUAAUCAGAAAGCCACGGCUAACUACGUG